Molecule: long non-coding RNA, 501 nt
Filed under: Gallus gallus (chicken)
Lineage: Eukaryota; Metazoa; Chordata; Aves; Galliformes; Phasianidae
Description: lncRNA (ENSGALG00010019869.1)
Source: RNAcentral
GAGCCUCAGCAGAAUGUGGGAAAGUGUUUGCUCUGUUGUUCUGUGAGAGCAACGAAAGGCUUAGGGAAACUGCUGAGCACCUGGGAAGUGAGGUUUGAAGGAAGAGGAGGCACCUUGGAACUUCUCCCUUGGGUCCAUCGUCAGGACCCCGCUCCGUUUUGCACCAGGAGCACCGAGGAGGGCUGGGCUCACGGUCUGAGGGAAGCCCUGCGAGAGCUGCCUUCCCCUCAGGCCUCCUCCUACAAAUCUUUCCACGCUGCAAACAGAAAUUUGCAAAUCUAGGCCAAGCAUUCCCUGCUCCUAUUUCACCACCCAUGCUGUCGGAGGACGGUUGUGCUGUGUGCUAUGGAGACGCAGCACCUCAGGAUAAACCUGGACCGCUCUGCUCCGUGCUCAUGCGGCCCAGUGGGGUCCUCUUCUAUACCUGGACCAUUACCCUGGGACUAAUUAAAAUAAUUAACAAGUGUAAUUAACUGUUGAGAGUUUUAGCACAUUAUAUCA